CGUGUGCGGUCCCUCCCCCUCACGUUCUCUCUUCCUCUGCUCCGCCAUGAUGAGAAGCGCCUGCUUCCCCUUCCCCUUCCGCCAUGAUUGUGUUUCCUGAGACCUCCCAGCCACGCUUCCUGUACAGCCUGCAGAACUAACCUGUGGCAUAUUCCUUGGAGUAUCUCCAGGUUGAGAAUUCAUGAUCCGCUUGGAAUGGGUUUAGAUCUCGGAAUGAGCUGUCAUCCCGGCCCAGCCAGGUAGCUCAGGAAGCUGCAAGACCUUCCUCCAAGGAACCUGCUGCCAACUCGCCUGGCACAGACAUCCUGACAUGACACCACUGCUCAUUCCCCACUGGCACAGGACCGGCCAUCUCCUCCAAGCCUGAGCUGCCUGUACAGCAUCCCAAGCUCUGGGCGCACCUGGGGCAGCCGUGGCAGGAACGCCGUGGGAUCUGCUGAGUCCUACGAGGCUGCAGUGGGACCGAGUGGGAACCAUGGCCCAUGCAGAACUGCUUCUCCCUUGAAGAAGAAACACAGGCUAUUGGCUCAGCUGUAAAAGGCAAACACAGGCUAUUGGCUCAGCUGUAAAAGGAGAUCACGGCAUCCGCUUGGAUGGGGAGUUGGUGCCAGCUUUCCUGCUACAAGAAAAUUCAAUCCCAACUGCUACCCAGACCCGCUGUGUCUGCACCACAGCAGUGGGGACCGAGGGCAUGCCUGCCAUGCCAAUCCCGCAGAGGACUUUGCUGCAGCGAGACAGCCCCUUUCUCCCUCCAUGAUAGAGUUUAGAAGCCUCCUCCUCUUGCUGCCACCGUGGGUAUUUAGGUGAGCAGCUGUAGUUGCCGGGGAGGCCUGAGCACAACACUUAACGCUGCUCCUGCAGUUUCAUGGGCCAUUAACAAUUUGCUAAUAUUGUUUUAGCUUGCAAAUUAGUGCAGCUCCGUGGGUAAGGAAAGGCUCUGUGGCUGUCAUCAAUCAGAUGGAAAUUCUCCAUGCAUGAGAUGAAAAACGAUUUCUAGCCUUUGAGGCUCAGACGGCAAUUACUGUAACCAAAAAAAAUGGGUGGUGGGGAGCCGGGGGGAAGAGAGCUCCUUGCAAAGUCUGUUAGCAAUUCUAUGAACUUUAUUUCUUGAUGCACGAGAGUGAAACUAUGAGGAUUUCCAGCCAAGGGAACUUGAUUUUCUUAGUUACUAAUAAAGUGACAAUCUAAAGGAGCCCUCUCCAACUGACCUGCUCCCAGAAGGUGGGGAGAGAGGAUGUCCGUGUGGCAAGAAGGAUGACAAAGCUGUGAGGACCUGGUGACUGUCUUUGCUGAGCUCCCAACUGGUGACGCUCACCAGGAGGAUGCCACAGAUGGCUCUGCCAAAAGUGCAGACAAACCUUGGCCUUGUUUGUUGGAAACCAUGUUGCUUAUCCCCCAUCCCUCCCACCUUUAAGCACCAACAUUUUUUCCUUUUAAAUAUUGAUACGAGACUGGGCUGGGCAUGGUGGCUCAUGCCUGUAGUUCUAAUGCUUUGGAAAUCUGAGGCAGGAGAAUCACUUGAUCUCCAGUUCUAGACCAGCCUGGGCAGUAUAGUGAGAACCCCAUCUCUACAAAAACAUUUCAAAAAUUAGCUGGGUGUGGUAGUAUGCACUGUGGUCCCAGCUGCUUGGGAGGCUGAGGCAGGAGGAUCACUUGAGCCCAGGAGAUCAAGGCUGCUGUGAGCCAUGAACGCCCCUCUGCACUCCAGCCUGGGCAACAGAGUGAGACCCUGUCUCUUAAAAUAAAAGUGAGACUGUUAUG
Molecule: long non-coding RNA, 1761 nt
Filed under: Homo sapiens (human)
Lineage: Eukaryota; Metazoa; Chordata; Mammalia; Primates; Hominidae
Description: non-protein coding lnc-BRD1-23:2
Source: RNAcentral